UCUUUAAAUUUUCUCCCACCUGUUGCCUUUCUAUCCAUUCUGUAUAUAAAACACAGAUAUAUAAAUACUGACAAAUAUUAUAUAGAAUGUAUGACACGUAAAAAUACAAAGAAAAUUUUAUGUUGAAAUUCGACGCAAAUUUUAAAAUUAUCUAGAGUGGCAUUUAAACUGUUGAAGACGUUUUGAAUCGCUAAGAUAAUUUCAUCAACUUCAGCAGGACUGCUGAAGUUCGUCCGCUCGAUGAUAUUUUGUUUGUGUGACGUUUGACAAAAUAAACGCCGCGGCGAGACGUAAUGAUCGAAAUAGCGCGACGUGACAUCACGAAAACAUCGUUCUCGAGAUAAUAUUGUGCGGGAGGCGGCGGCAGGCCACUCAAUAGGGGGUGGGUCAUGUACGCUGCCGUGAACCGCUUUUUGUCGCGUGGAUUCGCUCGCCUUCGCGGAUCGAGUAGGUUUUCGACAUCGGCCAAGAAGAGCCCGGACGCGGCAUUGGCGGCGGAGAUCGCGGGCAUUGCGGCAUGCAAAGGGUCUUUGAAAGACGAAACGGUUGUACCGAGAUUACAAAUUGUACGCGUGUAUCGAUGGAAUCCGGAAACGCCGGAAGUAAAGCCAUACAUGCAGCAGUUCAGCGUAGAUUUAAACAAGUGCGGCACGAUGGUGUUGGACGUCUUGAUACACAUCAAGGCGCAGCACGAUCCGACGUUGUCCUUUCGGAAGUCUUGUCGCGAGGGCAUCUGUGGAUGUUGUGCGAUGAACAUAGACGGCGUAAACACCCUGGCUUGUAUAACAAAGGCAAAAGAAUCUCCGGAGCCGUUGGUGAUCUACCCUUUACCGCACGCAUAUGUGAUUCGAGACUUGAUACCGGAUUUGGAGCAGUUCUUUGAACAAUUCCGGAAAAUCGAUCCAUAUCUAAAGCGACCAGGUGAGGACGAUUUUCUCGGUAUGCGACAAAUUCUGCAGAGUCCAAGGGACAGAAGUAAGCUUGACGGCUUGUACGAGUGUAUAAUGUGUGCGUGUUGCACGUAUUCGUGUCCUCCUUAUUGGUGGCUCGGCGACAAGUACUUAGGGCCUGCGGUAUUACUGCAGGCAUACAGGUGGGUAAUAGACUCGCGAGACAUGGCACAUAAAGAGCGGUUAGCAAAGCUCCGGGACUUCUAUUCAGUUUAUCGAUGCCAGUCGAUCUUUAAUUGUACCAAGACGUGUCCAAAGGGUCUAAAUCCAGGAAAAGCAAUAGCGCAACUAAAAUGUUUGCUGGCUGGACUUGCAAAGAAAGAGAAACCAGACCUCGACACACCACUUCCGAAUACCUGUAAUGGUGAAGAGCAAUAUCUAUGCAGAAGGGAAUAAAAAAAUAGGACGAUACAGUUCGCGAGACAUUCUUCUUUAUUGUAUAAUGUCCAUCACUUUGAAUAAAGAACUUCAUAUAAUUGAGCACUAGGGUGCUUUUGUUAUAUAACAGCAUUGCUAUGUUCUUCAAACAUCAACUCCCAAUCAAGAAUUAUCAUUAAUCGUCAAGGAUCAUAAAGUUGAUAAAUUGGCACUUAAUAUCGAUCAACAACCUUUGCAGUGCGUGUUACUUACAUUACAUAGUAUAGUAAUAAGUAUUCUAUGUUGUAAAUUAAAUCACAAAUUCUUAUUAUACUUAUUAAAUUGUCAGUCAAAAAAUAAAAGUAUAUCCGAGUA
This 1682-nucleotide unclassified non-coding RNA is filed under the name Monomorium pharaonis (pharaoh ant). RNAcentral's name for it is "succinate dehydrogenase [ubiquinone] iron-sulfur subunit, transcript variant X1". Lineage: Eukaryota; Metazoa; Arthropoda; Insecta; Hymenoptera; Formicidae. The record is from RNAcentral.